AGCGCAGGCGGGAAGACAAGUUGGAAGUGAAAUCCAUGGGCUCAACCCACGAACUGCUUUCAAAACUGUUUUUCUUGAGUAGUGCAGAGGUAGGCGGAAUUCCCGGUGUAGCGGUGAAAUGCGUAGAUAUCAGGAGGAAUACCGGAGGCGAAGGCGGCCUGCUGGACAAAUACUGACGCUGAGGCGCGAAAGCGUGGGGAGCAAACA
RNAcentral lists this ribosomal RNA (207 nucleotides) under uncultured bacterium. Its description in RNAcentral is "partial 16S ribosomal RNA". It matches the Rfam family "Bacterial small subunit ribosomal RNA", at positions 568 to 774 of the family's 1533-position model. The record is from RNAcentral.